GAGUUUGAUCAUGGCUCAGAUUGAACGCUGGCGGCAUGCCUUACACAUGCAAGUCGAACGGCAGCAUGAUCUAGCUUGCUAGAUUGAUGGCGAGUGGCGAACGGGUGAGUAAUACAUCGGAACGUGCCCUGUAGUGGGGGAUAACUAGUCGAAAGAUUAGCUAAUACCGCAUACGACCUGAGGGUGAAAGUGGGGGACCGCAAGGCCUCAUGCUAUAGGAGCGGCCGAUGUCUGAUUAGCUAGUUGGUGGGGUAAAGGCCCACCAAGGCGACGAUCAGUAGCUGGUCUGAGAGGACGAUCAGCCACACUGGGACUGAGACACGGCCCAGACUCCUACGGGAGGCAGGCAGUGGGGAAUUUUGGACAAUGGGCGAAAGCCUGAUCCAGCAAUGCCGCGUGUGUGAAGAACGG
This 411-nucleotide ribosomal RNA is filed under the name uncultured microorganism. RNAcentral describes it as "bacterial SSU rRNA". It matches the Rfam family "Bacterial small subunit ribosomal RNA", at positions 9 to 415 of the family's 1533-position model. The record is from RNAcentral.